CACGUAGGGGGCGAGCGUUGUCCGGAUUUAUUGGGCGUAAAGAGCUCGUAGGCGGCUCGGUAAGUCAGGUGUGAAAACUCUAGGCUCAACCUAGAGACGCCACCUGAUACUGCCGUGGCUAGAGUCCGGUAGGGGAGCAUGGAAUUCCUGGUGUAGCGGUGAAAUGCGUAGAGAUGCGGAGGAACACCGAUGGCGAAGGCAGCCCCCUGGGCCAAUACUGACGCUCAGGCACGAAAGCGUGGGGAGCAAACAGG
RNAcentral lists this ribosomal RNA (254 nucleotides) under uncultured bacterium. RNAcentral's name for it is "partial 16S ribosomal RNA". It matches the Rfam family "Bacterial small subunit ribosomal RNA", at positions 524 to 776 of the family's 1533-position model. The record is from RNAcentral.